AUACUACAGAAGAUUGGUAACUCAUACAAACUACUACUUCCUGCCAAUGUACAGAUACACAAUGUCUUUCAUGUGAGUCAACUGAAAAGACACUUGGGACCUAAUGUUGUUCCUGCUCUGGGCUUGCCACUUGUGGAUGCUACUGGCAAAAUCAAGGUCUCCCCUGUGUUGGUGCUGGAUAGUACUAGAGCAGUUCCUCGGCCUUCAAAAUUGGUCACUCAAUGGUUGGUGCGGUGGUUAAACAUGUCCCCAAAAGAGGCAACUUGA
Molecule: ribosomal RNA, 267 nt
Filed under: Triticum aestivum (bread wheat)
Lineage: Eukaryota; Viridiplantae; Streptophyta; Magnoliopsida; Poales; Poaceae
Description: partial small subunit ribosomal RNA
Source: RNAcentral